CACACAAGUGAAUCAGAAUGAUAUUCAAUUGCAAUUAGCCACGCCUAGAGGUACAAUGGAGGACUGAAAAGGUCUAAAUGAGUGUUUUGUUCAUUUGUGUCACUUAAGCGACAGAGUGCCAAAAAAGCAAAAUGGAAAUCAUGCAUGAUGCUCUCAUUAGCUCUUGUUGUUCACAGAGACUCGUGGCAGGAAUGACACACGAGUGAUAUGCAUUGUGUUGGAUUUGGUGACUGUUAUGUUGGAGUGUGGCGUGACGAGACUUGGGGACAUUAAAUCACUGAGAGUUCUCAUGAAAGACGGACUCUGCCAUCACUUACUUACUUUGCUUCAGAACGAAUCUGUUGAUGUUUUUGGUCGCUCUUUGACAAAGUGCUUUCUUCUUUUUGAUUCAAAUUGUCAUCAUCUCAAACUACAGCUGGAGUGGUUCCUUAAUAAGCUAAUGCACACAAUACAAUUAGAUCAGUCAAGACUUCAAGCAGGCAGACAAGAGCUAACAUUAGAAUGUCUCA
Molecule: long non-coding RNA, 509 nt
Organism: Amphimedon queenslandica
Lineage: Eukaryota; Metazoa; Porifera; Demospongiae; Haplosclerida; Niphatidae
Exons: 5
Source: RefSeq, a predicted model, not a curated record